GUUAGUAACGAAAAACCCAGGCAUUGGUGAGAAAUAUGUCAAGGAUGCAGUUACAGUUGGAGUACAGUUGCACCUGCACCGGGAGAGGUUGAGCUUGGAAAGACUGUGGAGCUGUGGGAGAUCUGAAGCUCUAAAAGGGGGAGCUGAGAGGAACUGACCGACCUACGAUCCCUGCUACUCCCGUCAGGUAGGUGGGGAUACUCCCUGUUUGUUAUGAUGGAUACAAAUACCCUUUUUGAAAUGGAAACACACAUGGCUGAAAAUAGAAAGGAAAAGGUGUCUUUAUAGAGCUUAGCCCUUCAAAAACAACAUAGACAAAGAUAUAUUGACUGUGUGGAACAGCCUGUUUCCCAGCACAAGGUCGGAAAAGAGCUUGAACUUCAAAUAGGAAUAAAAUGUCAAACAAAAGAAUCACAUAUAACUUUACGUAAACCAAUGACAUGUUCCGAUGCCCUCUGCACAACUUUCUCGGCAUCAACGUGAAAGAUCACAGGAAAUGUGUCGAGUGUGAUGUGACAAUUGUGGUUUGUGAGCGAGAACACACACACCUACAGCCUGACACACACAAAUACGAAUCGCUAUAAAUGCAACAAUGAUGUCAAACUGAACCGCAAAUACAAAGUGAGCUGUUUGCACCUUCCUCUCCACCCAGCCAUUACACCAAAUUAUUUUCCUGGCUUAAGUUCCCUCACAUUAAAUUUCACAACCUGACAUUGAUAGCACACAGUCUCGUUCUGUCUUUUCCCCUGUUCCUCACAGUAUAUACACACUAUGUGGACUCAUGGGAUCAUCUACAUUAUCCAGGGCUUUAGUACACCAAACUCAUUUGCACUUCUUAUGUGCAGAAGGGUAUAGGGCCUUCAGAGACCUGGAAACAGUUAUUCUCACCAGCCUUCAAGGUUAUACGUAUACGUCAUUAUGAGUUGUAGUAAAAAAAAAGAACAAGUUUUCGUAUUCAACAGUAGGACACUGACAUACCCUGAAAGAAACCAGAAGAGGCCAAAUGUCAGGACUAGGUUGGGCAGAAACAUAUAAAUGUAUGACAGUUCAUAUGGUUUAUCAAUUACACUGAAGUGGAGUGACACCAGGAAAUGUUUUAAGAAGUCAAAGCUCUGUCUAGGACUAAAGUUACCCAUAAUUAUUAUGGGAGGAAGGGCUGAGAGAAGUUACUGAUGAAGUAACUGACUCUUGACUUGAACCUUAAUGUAACUCACACUCAAUAUUUCAGCCAAAGUGGAGUUUCAGACUAGUUACAGCUGAAAUAAAAACAGCCUUUCUUUUUAACCUCGUGUCUGGUUAUAAAACUGAGCCUAGCUGUAAAUCAAACCUGUGUCCUCGGCAAAAUAUCUUGAGUUGCAAAUUGUAAAUAGUGCUUUGGAGACUUAUAUUUUUUGACAAGAGUACACAAAAUAAAUAUCUAAAUCAUUUUCCAUUUUGGCACUUCUAAUUCCCUAAAAACGCAGAGGUCUAUCAGGCAGAAUCGCGGUUCGCUGUAAAUCUGUCUGCCCUGACUGUGGCCAGCCGAGGGUCACUGAGGAGUCAGAGUUUUGAGGAGGUAUAAAGCAGUUACUUUAUGGCUAUCCCAAUUGUUGUGCAUUAGAGUUAUGUGCAUUGUAUUAGCUCUAAUGAAGGGCGUAAAUUCUCAGUUUUACGAGCAGACCUUUACGAGGAAGGGGAAAUUGUAAAACACACGCUUUUUGCGUUACCAGUGUUUGUCACCCUGCCUCUGGAGUUCACACUGCACACACGCUGUUUUCAUUAACCUGUGGAUGGCUCUGAGAUGUGUGUGUGUAUGUAAGGAUUACGUCUGGGUAAGAGUCUAGUCACUCAUCUGGAAAUCAGCAUCUAGUUGGUUAAUAAGAGGCAAUGCUUAUAUCAAAAGAUUGCAUCGCCGAGUUCGUCCAGGUCGCUUACAGUAUACUUACAUGCACAUUAUUUUCUAUUCUAUAUUUAAUUCUACAGAAUACAUUUUUUUUAUAUUUUAUUCUUAUAUUUUUAUUGUUUACUUUUA
Cyprinus carpio carpio is the source of this 2011-nucleotide long non-coding RNA. NCBI's taxonomy places the organism in Eukaryota, Metazoa, Chordata, Actinopteri, Cypriniformes, Cyprinidae. The record is from Ensembl.